RNAcentral lists this ribosomal RNA (717 nucleotides) under Comamonas sp. SMCC B0619. RNAcentral describes it as "bacterial SSU rRNA". It matches the Rfam family "Bacterial small subunit ribosomal RNA", at positions 24 to 737 of the family's 1533-position model. The record is from RNAcentral. Lineage: Bacteria; Pseudomonadati; Pseudomonadota; Betaproteobacteria; Burkholderiales; Comamonadaceae.
UCAGAUUGAAACGCUGGCGGCAUGCUUUACACAUGCAAGUCGAACGGUAACAGGUCUUCGGAUGCUGACGAGUGGCGAACGGGUGAGUAAUACAUCGGAACGUGCCUAGUAGUGGGGGAUAACUACUCGAAAGAGUAGCUAAUACCGCAUGAGAUCUACGGAUGAAAGCAGGGGACCUUCGGGCCUUGUGCUACUAGAGCGGCUGAUGGCAGAUUAGGUAGUUGGUGGGGUAAAGGCUUACCAAGCCUGCGAUCUGUAGCUGGUCUGAGAGGACGACCAGCCACACUGGGACUGAGACACGGCCCAGACUCCUACGGGAGGCAGCAGUGGGGAAUUUUGGACAAUGGGCGAAAGCCUGAUCCAGCAAUGCCGCGUGCAGGAUGAAGGCCCUCGGGUUGUAAACUGCUUUUGUACGGAACGAAAAGCUCUGGGCUAAUACCCCGGAGUCAUGACGGUACCGUAAGAAUAAGCACCGGCUAACUACGUGCCAGCAGCCGCGGUAAUACGUAGGGUGCAAGCGUUAAUCGGAAUUACUGGGCGUAAAGCGUGCGCAGGCGGUUUUGUAAGACAGUGGUGAAAUCCCCGGGCUCAACCUGGGAACUGCCAUUGUGACUGCAAAGCUAGAGUGCGGCAGAGGGGGAUGGAAUUCCGCGUGUAGCAGUGAAAUGCGUAGAUAUGCGGAGGAACACCGAUGGCGAAGGCAAUCCCCUGGGCCUG